GACGUAGGGCGCGAGCGUUGUCCGAAUUUAUUGGGCGUAAAGAGCUCGUAGGCGGUGUGUCACGUCGGCCGUGAAAACCUGCAGCUUAACUGUGGGCGUGCGGUCGAUACGGGCAUCACUGGAGUUCGGCAGGGGAGACUGGAAUUCCUGGUGUAGCGGUGAAAUGCGCAGAUAUCAGGAGGAACACCGGUGGCGAAGGCGGGUCUCUGGGCCGAUACUGACGCUGGAGGAGCGAAAGCGUGGGGAGCAAACAGG
This 255-nucleotide ribosomal RNA is filed under the name uncultured bacterium. RNAcentral describes it as "partial 16S ribosomal RNA". It matches the Rfam family "Bacterial small subunit ribosomal RNA", at positions 524 to 776 of the family's 1533-position model. The record is from RNAcentral.